GGAGAGGACAGCUCAGUGGUAGAGCACGUGCUUAGCACGCAUGAGGUCCUGGCUUCAACCCCCAGUACCUCCA
RNAcentral lists this transfer RNA (73 nucleotides) under Camelus bactrianus (Bactrian camel). It matches the Rfam family "tRNA". From Rfam's summary of the family: Transfer RNA (tRNA) molecules are approximately 80 nucleotides in length. Their secondary structure includes four short double-helical elements and three loops (D, anti-codon, and T loops). The record is from Rfam by way of RNAcentral. RNAcentral also lists the same sequence under 2 other names. Lineage: Eukaryota; Metazoa; Chordata; Mammalia; Artiodactyla; Camelidae.